AUUGAACGCUGGCGGCAUGCCUUACACAUGCAAGUCGUACGGUAACAGGUCUUCGGAUGCUGACGAGUGGCGAACGGGUGAGUAAUACAUCGGAACGUGCCUAGUAGUGGGGGAUAACUACUCGAAAGAGUGGCUAAUACCGCAUGAGAUCUACGGAUGAAAGCAGGGGAUCGCAAGACCUUGUGCUACUAGAGCGGCCGAUGGCAGAUUAGGUAGUUGGUGGGAUAAAAGCUUACCGAGCCGACGAUCUGUAGCUGGUCUGAGAGGACGAUCAGCCACACUGGGACUGAGACACGGCCCAGACUCCUACGGGAGGCAGCAGUGGGGAAUUUUGGACAAUGGGCGCAAGCCUGAUCCAGCAAUGCCGCGUGCAGGAUGAAGGCCUUCGGGUUGUAAACUGCUUUUGUACGGAACGAAAAGCCCCGGGUUAAUACCCUGGGGUCAUGACGGUACCGUAAGAAUAAGCACCGGCUAACUACGUGCCAGCAGCCGCAGUAA
RNAcentral lists this ribosomal RNA (498 nucleotides) under uncultured bacterium. RNAcentral's name for it is "partial 16S ribosomal RNA". It matches the Rfam family "Bacterial small subunit ribosomal RNA", at positions 30 to 523 of the family's 1533-position model. The record is from RNAcentral.